UACGUAGGGUGCAAGCGUUAAUCGGAAUUACUGGGCGUAAAGCGUGCGCAGGCGGUGAUGUAAGACAGUUGUGAAAUCCCCGGGCUCAACCUGGGAACUGCAUCUGUGACUGCAUCGCUGGAGUGCGGCAGAGGGGGGAUGGAAUUCCGCGUGUAGCAGUGAAAUGCGUAGAUAUGCGGAGGAACACCGAUGGCGAAGGCAAUCCCCUGGGCCUGCACUGACGCUCAUGCACGAAAGCGUGGG
This 243-nucleotide ribosomal RNA is filed under the name uncultured bacterium. RNAcentral describes it as "partial 16S ribosomal RNA". It matches the Rfam family "Bacterial small subunit ribosomal RNA", at positions 524 to 765 of the family's 1533-position model. The record is from RNAcentral.